CAGCAGCCGCGGGAAUACGUAGGUGGCAAGCGUUGUCCGGAAUUAUUGGGCGUAAAGGGCUCGCAGGCGGUUUCUUAAGUCUGAUGUGAAAGCCCCCGGCUCAACCGGGGAGGGUCAUUGGAAACUGGGAAACUUGAGUGCAGAAGAGGAGAGUGGAAUUCCACGUGUAGCGGUGAAAUGCGUAGAGAUGUGGAGGAACACCAGUGGCGAAGGCGACUCUCUGGUCUGUAACUGACGCUGAGGAGCGAAAGCGUGGGAAGCGAACAGGAUUAGAUACCCGGGUAGUCCCUGUCUCUUAUAC
RNAcentral lists this ribosomal RNA (301 nucleotides) under uncultured bacterium. Its description in RNAcentral is "partial 16S ribosomal RNA". It matches the Rfam family "Bacterial small subunit ribosomal RNA", at positions 509 to 807 of the family's 1533-position model. The record is from RNAcentral.